RNAcentral lists this ribosomal RNA (484 nucleotides) under uncultured bacterium. RNAcentral describes it as "partial 16S ribosomal RNA". It matches the Rfam family "Bacterial small subunit ribosomal RNA", at positions 30 to 507 of the family's 1533-position model. The record is from RNAcentral.
AUUGAACGCUGGCGGCAGGCCUAACACAUGCAAGUCGAGCGGAUGAAGGGAGCUUGCCCCUGGAUUCAGCGGCGGACGGGUGAGUAAUGCCUAGGAAUCUGCAUGGUAGUGGGGGAUAACGUCCGGAAACGGGCGCUAAUACCGCAUACGUACUGAGGGAGAAAGUGGGGGAUCUUCGGACCUCACGCUAUCAGAUGAGCCUAGGUCGGAUUAGCUAGUUGGUGGGGUAAAGGCCUACCAAGGCGACGAUCCGAAACUGGUCUGAGAGGAUGAUCAGUCACCCUGGAUCUGAGACUCGUUCCAGACUCCUACGGGAGGCAGCAGUGGGGAAUAUUGCACGAAGGGCGAAUGCCUGAUCCAGCCAUGCCGCGUGUAUGAAGAAGGUCUUCGGAUUGUUGAGCACUUUAAGUUUUGAGGAAGUGCAGUACGUUAAUACCUUGCUGUUUUGACGUCACCAACAGAAUAAGCACCGGCUAACUUCGUG